This 451-nucleotide ribosomal RNA is filed under the name uncultured bacterium. RNAcentral describes it as "bacterial SSU rRNA". It matches the Rfam family "Bacterial small subunit ribosomal RNA", at positions 354 to 796 of the family's 1533-position model. The record is from RNAcentral.
GUGAGGAAUUUUGCGCAAUGGGGGAAACCCUGACGCAGCAACGCCGCGUGAGUGAUGAAGGCUUUCGGGUCGUAAAGCUCUGUCAAAUGGGAAGAACUUGCUGAAUGUUAAUAGCAUUUGGCAUUGACGGUACCAUUGAAGGAAGCACCGGCUAACUCCGUGCCAGCAGCCGCGGUAAUACGGGGGGUGCAAGCGUUAUUCGGAAUUAUUGGGCGUAAAGGGCGCGUAGGCGGAUCUUUAAGUCAGAUGUGAAAGCCCAAGGCUUAACCUUGGAAGUGCAUUUGAAACUAUGGGUCUUGAGUAUGGGAGAGGGAAGUGGAAUUCCUGGUGUAGAGGUGAAAUUCGUAGAUAUCAGGAGGAACACCGGUGGCGAAGGCGACUUCCUGGACCAAUACUGACGCUGAGGCGCGAAGGCGUGGGGAGCGAACAGGAUUAGAAACCCUGGUAGUCC